RNAcentral lists this ribosomal RNA (513 nucleotides) under uncultured bacterium. RNAcentral's name for it is "bacterial SSU rRNA". It matches the Rfam family "Bacterial small subunit ribosomal RNA", at positions 29 to 532 of the family's 1533-position model. The record is from RNAcentral.
AGCGAACGUUUGCGGCGGGCUUAACACAUGCAAGUCGAACGAGAAUCCCUUCGGGGAGGAAAGUGGCGCACGGGUGCGUAACACGUGGAUAACCAACCCAUUGGUUUGGGACAACACCGGGAAACUGGCGCUAAUACCAGAUGUGUCGCAGCUGUCUUCAGGCGGUUGCGAGAAAGGCCCGCAAGGGUCGCCAACGGACGGGUCCGCGUCCCAUCAGCUAGUUGGUGAGGUAAUGGCUCACCAAGGCAAAGACGGGUAGCUGGUCUGAGAGGAUGAUCAGCCACACUGGAACUGAGACACGGUCCAGACUCCUACGGGAGGCAGCAGUGGGGAAUAUUGCGCAAUGGGCGAAAGCCUGACGCAGCCACGCCGCGUGAGCGAUGAAGGUUUUCGGAUCGUAAAACUCUGUUGUUAGGGAAGAACAAGUGCCGUUCGAAAGGGCGGCACCUUGACGGUACCUAACGAGAAAGCCACGGCUAACUACGUGCCAGCAGCCGCGGUAAAGUACAGUGU